Long non-coding RNA from Olea europaea var. sylvestris, 757 nucleotides. RefSeq lists it as uncharacterized. NCBI's taxonomy places the organism in Eukaryota, Viridiplantae, Streptophyta, Magnoliopsida, Lamiales, Oleaceae. The record is from RefSeq and is a predicted model, not a curated record. The transcript is spliced from 5 exons.
AACUUUCCAAAAUUCUAAUUUAUCUCUCUCGUCUCUACCCAUGUAUAAAACCAUUACCAUCUCUCGUUAACAAACACAACGGAACCAGAAAGAACAAACCAAACACCCAAACGAAUCACUGCUUCCAGGGCAUUCACUGCAAAAGGUCGGCAACGAGGCUUUGAUCGCAUCGAGUAAGAUUAUAAAGAUGUCGUUUACAAGGAAAGCUAUCCUUAGAAGAACUCAGAAGAAGUGCACAUCAUCACAUUUAAGAAGAAAAUUUGGGCUUCUUGUAAGGCACAAGAAUUGUAUGAAGCGCGCACAAGCCUAUCUCCAAAAUUUGCAGACUAUGCUUAAAUUUCUAAAGCUAAAUGCCUACCUGGAUGAGCUAAAUGACAAGACUGACGUGAUACUUGCCGAGAUGCGAGAGAUAAAAGCCGAACAAUAAGAGUUGAACGCUGAAGAGGAAGAGGUAAUUGCCGAACUGGAAACCACGGAAAGCGAAAUAAAAGAAUUAGAAAAAACAUUUGAAGAUAUGUUGCAGAAACACAUGGAAGAGGCAAUUGCUAGUGACCUGAUGAAUUUACCUGAGGAUAGAGCCCUUACAGAAACUAAAGAAAAUGGCAGCUCUUAGACAUUGAAUAGACAUCAUGGUUGGAGCAAAUCGAUACACACACACAUAUGAACAUUACAUUUGCUUGUGCAAUUUAACGAUUGGAAUUAUAGGAGCAAGGAAUAAUUUGGUAUGAAAUAUUAUCUUGCGUGAUUUGAACUGUUA